CGUAGGGUGCGAGCGUUAAUCGGAAUUACUGGGCGUAAAGCGUGCGCAGGCGGUUUUGUAAGACAGAUGUGAAAUCCCCGGGCUCAACCUGGGACCUGCAUUUGUGACUGCAAGGCUAGAGUACGGUAGAGGGGGAUGGAAUUCCGCGUGUAGCAGUGAAAUGCGUAGAUAUGCGGAGGAACACCGAUGGCGAAGGCAAUCCCCUGGACCUGUACUGACGCUCAUGCACGAAAGCGUGGGGAGCAAACAGGAUUAGAUACCCUGGUAGUCCACGCCCUAAACGAUGUCAACUGGUUGUUGGGUCUUUACUGACUCAGUAACGAAGCUAACGCGUAAAGUUGACCGCCUGGGGAGUACGGCCGCAAGGGUUG
This 371-nucleotide ribosomal RNA is filed under the name uncultured organism. RNAcentral describes it as "bacterial SSU rRNA". It matches the Rfam family "Bacterial small subunit ribosomal RNA", at positions 526 to 897 of the family's 1533-position model. The record is from RNAcentral.